AUUGAACGCUGGCGGCAUGCCUUACACAUGCAAGUCGAACGGCAGCAUGGAGAGCUUGCUCUCUGAUGGCGAGUGGCGAACGGGUGAGUAAUGCAUCGGAACGUACCGUGUAAUGGGGGAUAACGUAGCGAAAGUUACGCUAAUACCGCAUACGACCUGAGGGUGAAAGCAGGGGAUCGCAAGACCUUGCGUUAUACGAGCGGCCGAUGUCAGAUUAGCUAGUUGGUGAGGUAAAGGCUCACCAAGGCGACGAUCUGUAGCGGGUCUGAGAGGAUGAUCCGCCACACUGGGACUGAGACACGGCCCAGACUCCUACGGGAGGCAGCAGUGGGGAAUUCUGGACAAUGGGGGCAACCCUGAUCCAGCCAUGCCGCGUGAGUGAAGUAGGCCUUCGGGUUGUAAAGCUCUUUCGGCCGGGAAGAAAUCGCACAGGCUAGUACUCUGUGUGGAUGACGGUACCGGCAUAAGAAGCACCGGCUAACUACGUGCCAGCCGCCGCAGUAA
Molecule: ribosomal RNA, 504 nt
Filed under: uncultured bacterium
Lineage: Bacteria
Description: partial 16S ribosomal RNA
Rfam family: Bacterial small subunit ribosomal RNA
Source: RNAcentral